CCUACGGGCGGCAGCAGUGGGGAAUAUUGGACAAUGGGGGGAACCCUGAUCCAGCCAUGCCGCGUGUGUGAAGAAGGCCCUCGGGUUGUAAAGCACUUUCAGUGAGGAAGAACGCCUGGUGGUUAAUACCCAUCAGGAAAGACAUCACUCACAGAGGAAGCACCGGCUAACUCCGUGCCAGCAGCCGCGGUAAUACGGAGGGUGCGAGCGUUAAUCGGAAUUACUGGGCGUAAAGCGCGCGUAGGUGGCUUGAUAAGCCGGUUGUGAAAGCCCCGGGCUCAACCUGGGAACGGCAUCCGGAACUGUCAAGCUAGAGUGCAGGAGAGGAAGGUAGAAUUCCCGGUGUAGCGGUGAAAUGCGUAGAGAUCGGGAGGAAUACCAGUGGCGAAGGCGGCCUUCUGGACUGACACUGACACUGAGGUGCGAAAGCGUGGGUAGCAAACAGGAUUAGAUACCCCGGUAGUC
Molecule: ribosomal RNA, 465 nt
Filed under: Vreelandella stevensii
Lineage: Bacteria; Pseudomonadati; Pseudomonadota; Gammaproteobacteria; Oceanospirillales; Halomonadaceae
Description: partial 16S ribosomal RNA
Rfam family: Bacterial small subunit ribosomal RNA
Source: RNAcentral